Molecule: long non-coding RNA, 492 nt
Filed under: Theobroma cacao (cacao)
Lineage: Eukaryota; Viridiplantae; Streptophyta; Magnoliopsida; Malvales; Malvaceae
Description: long non-coding RNA (TCAC_LNC003361)
Source: RNAcentral
UCUAAUUUUGGUUAAUUUUAUACUUAAUUUGGUGUUAAUAUGGUUAAGAUAGGUUGUUAUUGAUUUAAAUGUGCUUUUGUAGUUAUUUGAUGAAAGAAGAAUUUUAGUGGAAGAAGGAGAGCAAUUUCAAGGUGCAAACUUUCAAUGCACAUAUUUUUGUAUUUUGGCCAUAACCUUUUCUACAAAGGUUUGAAUGAAGCGAUUCUUAGGCCAUUGGAAAGAUAAGAGAAAGAUCUACAACUUUGAUGUUUACCAUUUUACCCAAUUCGGCUUGUAGAGUGGUUAUAAAUCUUAUCAAGUUUGACACAAUUCAGUAGUCUUAGAGCAAUUACGAUGUCUGUUAAUUAAUUGGGCAAGGCUACGACUUACAUAGUUUGAUGAGGAAAUCCUAGCUGAAAUUGACUUCUUUCUUCACCUAACUUGGCCUAACUUCAAAGCCUAUAAAAACAACCUUUCGAAGGACUUAAGGAAGAAACACCAGAUUAACAGCUG